Drosophila grimshawi is the source of this 647-nucleotide long non-coding RNA. RefSeq lists it as uncharacterized. The record is from RefSeq and is a predicted model, not a curated record. NCBI's taxonomy places the organism in Eukaryota, Metazoa, Arthropoda, Insecta, Diptera, Drosophilidae. The transcript is spliced from 2 exons.
AGUCUGGACCUAGCUGUAAAGCGAAGUAAAAGUUUCAUGAUGAAAUACUUAGCUCUCGUUGUAGCGCUCGUUGUUGUCAGUUACAUUCAUCUAUCAGAAUGUCAAUCAGAGUUAACGGAGGAUGAACCCAAAUUUCGAACGCUAAUUUUGGGGCUAACUAUUAUUAGAGGUGUUCUGAGGGUCGCACAGGAAUUCCUUAAAAUUUUAAAUAAAUUUAUUCAAGAAGGCGAUUGGGCGCCAUUGAUUACGGAUUUAGUGGAGAUGAUAAAAGUUUCCACGAAUGUUAUUACCGUUUGUGUAAGUGAAAAUUUAUUGACGUGCAUCAAGGUGAAAUAUGAAGGAUUUAAAUCGCUGAUUUCCCUGACAAUACAAAUGACUAUGAAAAUUCAAGGAGUUUGUGCAUCGGGAUGUAAGAACGAAACAUCAAGCAUCUUUACAAAAUAUUUCAAUAUUUUUAACACGAUUUCCCAAAAACUGACUAUAAAUAUGGGAAGAAUGCCUACUACUACAUAAUUAAAAACCAUAAAAACUACUAAAAUUACAUCUAUGGUUGAAUUUAAAAAUCAUGUAAAACGAGAGUUGAAACAAUUCUUACCAGUAAAAAGAUUUUCAAUCAAUUUUAUGAAAACACUUGCUCCACCAUCAAA